Molecule: ribosomal RNA, 625 nt
Filed under: Colletotrichum acutatum
Lineage: Eukaryota; Fungi; Ascomycota; Sordariomycetes; Glomerellales; Glomerellaceae
Description: eukaryotic LSU rRNA
Rfam family: Eukaryotic large subunit ribosomal RNA
Source: RNAcentral
GUUGACCUCGGAUCAGGUAGGAAUACCCGCUGAACUUAAGCAUAUCAAUAAGCGGAGGAAAAGAAACCAACAGGGAUUGCCCCAGUAACGGCGAGUGAAGCGGCAACAGCUCAAAUUUGAAAUCUGGCCCCAGGCCCGAGUUGUAAUUUGCAGAGGAUGCUUUUGGCGCGGUGCCUUCCGAGUUCCCUGGAACGGGACGCCAUAGAGGGUGAGAGCCCCGUACGGUUGGACACCAAGCCUUUGUAAAGCUCCUUCGACGAGUCGAGUAGUUUGGGAAUGCUGCUCUAAAUGGGAGGUACAUUUCUUCUAAAGCUAAAUAUUGGCCAGAGACCGAUAGCGCACAAGUAGAGUGAUCGAAAGAUGAAAAGCACUUUGAAAAGAGGGUUAAACAGCACGUGAAAUUGUUAAAAGGGAAGCGCUUGUGACCAGACUUGCGUCCGGUGAAUCACCCAGCUCUCGCGGCUGGGGCACUUCGCCGGCACAGGCCAGCAUCAGCUUGCCGUCGGGGACAAAAGCUUCAGGAACGUGGCUCCUCUCGGGGAGUGUUAUAGCCUGUUGCACAAUACCCUUCGGCGGGCUGAGGUACGCGCUCCGCAAGGAUGCUGGCGUAAUGGUCAUCAGCGAC